GACGAACGCUGGCGGCGUGCUUAACACAUGCAAGUCGAACGGAAAGGCCCUGCUUUUGUGGGGUGCUCGAGUGGCGAACGGGUGAGUAACACGUGAGUAACCUGCCCUUGACUUUGGGAUAACUUCAGGAAACUGGGGCUAAUACCGGAUAGGAGCUCCUGCUGCAUGGUGGGGGUUGGAAAGUUUCGGCGGUUGGGGUUGGACUCGCGGCUUAUCAGCUUGUUGGUGGGGUAGUGGCUUACCAAGGCUUUGACGGGUAGCCGGCCUGAGAGGGUGACCGGCAACAUUGGGACUGAGAUACCGCCCAGACUCCUACGGGAGGCAGCAGUGGGGAAUAUUGCACAAUGGGCGGAAGCCUGAUGCAGCAACGCCGCGUGCGGGAUGACGGCCUUCGGGUUGUAAACCGCUUUCGCCUGUGACGAAGCGUGAGUGACGGUAAUGGGUAAAGAAGCACCGGCUAACUACGUG
This 468-nucleotide ribosomal RNA is filed under the name uncultured bacterium. RNAcentral's name for it is "partial 16S ribosomal RNA". It matches the Rfam family "Bacterial small subunit ribosomal RNA", at positions 28 to 507 of the family's 1533-position model. The record is from RNAcentral.